GACGAACGCUGGCGGCGUGCUUAACACAUGCAAGUCGAGCGGUAAGGCCCUUUCGGGGUACGACGAGCGGCGAACGGGUGAGUAACACGUGGGUGACCUGCCCUCCAGCUCUGGGAGUAAGCCCGGGAACCGUAGGGUCGUAAUACCGGAUAUGACUCCAUGACGCAUGUUGUGGGGUGGGAAAGCCUUGUGCGGCUGAGGAUGGGCCCGCGGCCUAUCAGCUUGUUGGUGGGGUGAUGGCCUACCAAGGCGACGACGGGUAGCCGGCCUGAGAGGGCGACCGGCCACACUGGGACUGAGACACGGCCCAGACUCCUACGGGAGGCAGCAGUGGGGAAUCUUGCGCAAUGGGCGAAAGCCUGACGCAGCGACGCCGCGUGAGGGAUGACGGCCU
Molecule: ribosomal RNA, 394 nt
Filed under: uncultured bacterium
Lineage: Bacteria
Description: bacterial SSU rRNA
Rfam family: Bacterial small subunit ribosomal RNA
Source: RNAcentral